Molecule: ribosomal RNA, 467 nt
Filed under: uncultured bacterium
Lineage: Bacteria
Description: partial 16S ribosomal RNA
Rfam family: Bacterial small subunit ribosomal RNA
Source: RNAcentral
GACGAACGCUGGCGGCGUGCUUAACACAUGCAAGUCGAACGGAAAGGCCCUGCUUUUGUGGGGUGCUCGAGUGGCGAACGGGUGAGUAACACGUGAGUAACCUGCCCUUGACUUUGGGAUAACUUCAGGAAACUGGGGCUAAUACCGGAUAGGAGCUCCUGCUGCAUGGUGGGGGUUGGAAAGUUUCGGCGGUUGGGGAUGGACUCGCGGCUUAUCAGCUUGUUGGUGGGGUAGUGGCUUACCAAGGCCUUGACGGGUAGCCGGCCUGAGAGGGUGACCGGCCCCAUGGGGCGUGGGGACCGGCCCGAACUCCUCAGGGGGGAAGGGGGGGGAAAUUUGGCAAAAGGGGCGGAGCCGUGGUGGAAGAACGCCGGGUGGGGAAGGCCGGCCUUGGGGUUGGAAACCGCUUUCGCUUGGAACGAGGCGUGAGGGCGGGAAAUGGGGAAAAAACCCCGGGCAAACUCGGG